GGAAGAAGAUCUUAGAUGACCAUGAAUGAAGAAUGCCUCUCGUCUUAAGACGAACAAAGCAAAAACCCUUGGUCACCUAAGAGGCAUGGAAUAACCCCAUAAAAGGAUCCUUGAAGUCCUAAAAGCGUCAAAUCAGAUCGAAGACCUUGGAUGACCAUGAGCAAAGAAUGCACCUCAUCUUAAGAUGAGCAGAGUAGAAAUCCUUUGUUUCCCAAGAAGCAAGAGGAAAUCCCAUAAAAGGACUCUCGAGGCCUUAAAAGUGUCAAAUCAGGUCGAAGACCUCAAGACC
Molecule: long non-coding RNA, 289 nt
Filed under: Elaeis guineensis (African oil palm)
Lineage: Eukaryota; Viridiplantae; Streptophyta; Magnoliopsida; Arecales; Arecaceae
Description: long non-coding RNA (EGUI_LNC024411)
Source: RNAcentral